Molecule: long non-coding RNA, 243 nt
Filed under: Olea europaea (common olive)
Lineage: Eukaryota; Viridiplantae; Streptophyta; Magnoliopsida; Lamiales; Oleaceae
Description: long non-coding RNA (OEUR_LNC012313)
Source: RNAcentral
CUUGCAGAUGGAACGGCGAAGGACUACAGUGAGACUAUAGUUAAUUUCCUUGAUGAUUUUGUCAAUGACAUCACAUCAAAGUAAUAUACACAAGAAAAAGGUAAAAUUGGGAAAAUUUUUUGAGAUGUCAUAAGUUUUUAACGUAAAUUUCUUACGAUUGCUAAAUUCUAUUGCUAAAAGUAUUAAGUGUAGAUAGCGAUCCUAUAUUAACAGUGGCGUGAAACAUUUGGUUCGUGGAUGGUG